Molecule: transfer RNA, 84 nt
Filed under: Colletotrichum zoysiae
Lineage: Eukaryota; Fungi; Ascomycota; Sordariomycetes; Glomerellales; Glomerellaceae
Description: tRNA-Glu
Rfam family: tRNA
About the family: Transfer RNA (tRNA) molecules are approximately 80 nucleotides in length. Their secondary structure includes four short double-helical elements and three loops (D, anti-codon, and T loops). Further hydrogen bonds mediate the characteristic L-shaped molecular structure. tRNAs have two regions of fundamental functional importance: the anti-codon, which is responsible for specific mRNA codon recognition, and the 3' end, to which the tRNAs corresponding amino acid is attached (by aminoacyl-tRNA synthetases). tRNAs cope with the degeneracy of the genetic code in two manners: having more than one tRNA (with a specific anti-codon) for a particular amino acid; and 'wobble' base-pairing, i.e. permitting non-standard base-pairing at the 3rd anti-codon position.
Source: RNAcentral
UCCGAUAUGGUGUAGUGGCCAACAUGAUGCCCUCUCACAACGAGAGGUUAGGCAUAGCCCCGAGUUCGAUUCUCGGUUUCGGAA